Long non-coding RNA from Chroicocephalus ridibundus (black-headed gull), 300 nucleotides. RefSeq lists it as uncharacterized. The transcript is spliced from 3 exons. The record is from RefSeq and is a predicted model, not a curated record. NCBI's taxonomy places the organism in Eukaryota, Metazoa, Chordata, Aves, Charadriiformes, Laridae.
GGAUGAAGAGGACAAUGAAGAUGUGUCCAUGCAGGGGCAGCUUUGCCACAAAGACUGAAAGAUUGGUGUCAAAGCAAAAAAUUGACUCUGUGAUUGGAGGACUGUGAGCUACCCAGGCAGACAUUAACUGCAGUGCUGUACAGAGUGCUUCUAGAAAUGAAGAGGGACUCUAGUCUAUAGGAAAGACAGAGGCUGGCUGUGACAAGCUGACGCAACCCUGGAGAGGAAUGCUGCUUUCCUGUGGUCAGCAACACGGGACCGGCUCCUGGGAGCAGUGUGUUACGGAGCUCAGCUGCGCAU